Molecule: ribosomal RNA, 365 nt
Filed under: Campylothelium sp. Nelsen s.n. (F)
Lineage: Eukaryota; Fungi; Ascomycota; Dothideomycetes; Trypetheliales; Trypetheliaceae
Description: eukaryotic LSU rRNA
Rfam family: Eukaryotic large subunit ribosomal RNA
Source: RNAcentral
GCUUUGGGUCUUGCAUCGUUUUAAGUCCUUUGGAACAGGGCGUCAUGGAGGGUGAAAAUCCCGUGUCUUCGAUUGUCAAGAUUCGUGUAAAGCUCCUUCGAAGAGUCGAGUUGUUUGGGAAUGCAGCUCUAAGUGGGAGGUAAAUUUCUUCCAAAGCUAAAUAUCUGCUAGAGACCGAUAGCGCACAAGUAGAGUGAUCGAAAGAUGAAAAGCACUUUGAAAAGAGAGUUAAAAAGCACGUGAAAUUGUUGAAAGGGAAGCUCAUGCAGUCAGACAUGACUCAGAGGUUCAGCCUUAUGGUGUAUUCUUCUGGGUCAGGCUAGCAUCAGUUUGGACAGCCGGACAAAAGUUUCGGGAAUGUAGCU